AGUCUGGUGCCAGCAGCCGCGGUAAUUCCAGCUCUGAUAGUAUAUAUUAAAGUUGUUGCAGUUAAAAAGCUCGUAGUUGAAACUUGGGUGCGUAGGGGCGGUCUCUUUUAGAGUACUACCCUGAAACAUCUUUCUUUGGUGUAAACUCUUUAUUCACUUAAGGAGUGUAAACCAAACAUUUACUUUGAAAAAAUUAGAGUGUUCAAAGCAGGCCUUUGCUCGAAUAUAUUAGCAUGGAAUAAUAGAAUAGGACGUAUGGUUCUAUUUUGUUGGUUUCUAGGACCGUCGUAAUGAUUAAUAGGGACGGUCGGGGGCAUCAGUAUUCAGUUGUCAGAGGUGAAAUUCUUGGAUUUACUGAAGACUAACUACUGCGAAAGCAUUUGCCAAGGACGUUUUCAUUAAUCAAGAACGAAAGUUAGGGGAUCGAAGACGAUCAGAUACCGUCGUAGUCUUAACCGUAAACUAUGCCGACUAGGGAUCGGAGGGCGUUAUAAUAACCUCUCCGGCACCUUACGAGAAAUCAAAGUUUUUGGGUUCUGGGGGGAGUAUGGUUGCAAGGCUGAAACUUAAAGGAAUUGACGGAAGGGCACCACCAGGAGUGGAGCCUGCGGCUUAAUUUGACCCAACACGGGGAAACUCACCAGGUCCAGACACAAUAAGGAUUGACAGAUUGAGAGCUCUUUCAUGAUUUUGUGGGUGGUGGUGCAUGGCCGUUCUUAGUUGGUGGAGUGAUUUGUCUGCUUAAUUGCGAUAACGAACGAGACCUUAACCUGCUAAAUAGCUGUAACAAUAGAUUAUUGUUUUGACAGCUUCUUAGAGGGACUAUCGAUUUUCAAGUCGAUGGAAGUUUGAGGCAAUAACAGGUCUGUGAUGCCCUUAGACGUUCUGGGCCGCACGCGCGCUACACUGACGGAGCCAGCGAGUCUAACCUGUGCCGAGAGGUAUGGGUAAUCUUGUGAAACUCCGUCGUGCUGGGGAUAGAGCAUUGCAAUUAUUGCUCUUCAACGAGGAAUUCCUAGUAAGCGCAAGUCAUCAGCUUGCGUUGAUUACGUCCCUGCCCUUUGUACACACCGCCCGUCGCUACUACCGAUUGAAUGGCUUAGUGAGGCUUCCGGAUUGAUUAACUGGAGAGGGCAACUUUUCUGGUUGAACGAGAAGCUAGUCAAACUUGGUCAUUUAGA
This 1181-nucleotide ribosomal RNA is filed under the name metagenome. RNAcentral describes it as "SSU rRNA". It matches the Rfam family "Eukaryotic small subunit ribosomal RNA", at positions 558 to 1777 of the family's 1831-position model. The record is from RNAcentral.